CCCUCAAUCUGUGAAUGUUUUAAUGGUCAAAAUAAUUUCCAAAAAAUAUUUAGGAGGAUGUUCCUAAAAAAACAAUGUAUAGACAUAUAUAAAUUAAUCCUACCAGCUGGAUGUGAUCUAGAUUGUUGAGCUAAAAUAAAUGUAAUUCACUAAUUGUAAUUAGAUGUUUUCAAUAAGCGCAUGUGUGUCUCUCAGAACACACAGAAAAAGAACAUAACAAAUAAGUUUAUGUUGUUUAUGGGAAUAGUUAAGAGAACUAGAUUGAGCCGAAGAAGUUAAUCAUGCAUACAUUCGACAAUUACGCCAGUAAAAUGCUAAUUUCUGGGUAAUGUGCACUGUGGGGAAAACCUUCAUGAAAUGGAAGAAAAUUCUCGUCUUCAAAAGUGUCUUUAAAUCGUCGGUAAAUGUUCGCGACGACUCAACUAUGAUUUCAAAAGGAGGAGCUGAUUCAUAUUUUCCCAAAAAAUAUCACACACCGGUAAUCUGAUCACUUUUCCCCAAAAUCCUGACCAUAUGAACCCUUAACGAGUGUCGAUCACCAGCCAAUCAGAAUGUAUUUUGAUCAGAGGGACGCUGGAAGAAAGACGGAGGAGCAGCUACCCCGCAUGAGCUCGGCGCGGCUUCUUAACGAGCUACAUACUUUCCCCCGGACUCCUGGCCAAGAAGACGCCAGCAGAGCUCUGAUGAUGGACGUAGAGCUGUUUACUCCGUUCUCAGAUCAAUCAGCUGAUAACCCGGACUAUUUUAACAUCGGGGUCACCCGCUUGGGGGUUGCAGUUUAUAAGAGUGAUAUAUUGAUAUAUAUGUAUUUUUUUAUAUUUUUAAUAGAAUAUGUAUAUUAUUGUUUCUAUCCAUUUUAUAUGUGCUGCUGCUUAUUUGUUUUGAUAAAGAUACAUUUAUACUCUAAUGUAAAGGGAACCCUAAAUCUAGUUCACGGGGCAUAACAAGUUUAAGUCAGACUCAUCCUGUGAAUUUAUGGACAUGUAACUAAAGACAGGCCCGUCUUCCAAUCAGGGGGUUGGCGGUUCAAUCCCCGCCCUAGUCGAUGUGUCCUUGAGCAAGACACUAAACCAUGAAUUGCUCCCUGUAGCUGUGUGUAAAUGUAAUAUGUAAAGUGUCUUUGAGUAUCUUAAAAAGCACUAUAUAUAAAUGAAAUGGAUUAUUAUUAUAAUUUAGUAUCAGCUGGUUGGUGACGUGUUGCUCCUCUGACGCGACGGCGCCCAACUAGCAACCAUUGCCAUGUGCACCAUCGUAAUAUUUGGUGAAUAUACAACUUAAUAAAACUUGUGUAUCACAUU
Long non-coding RNA from Pseudoliparis swirei, 1298 nucleotides. RefSeq lists it as uncharacterized. The transcript is spliced from 3 exons. The record is from RefSeq and is a predicted model, not a curated record. NCBI's taxonomy places the organism in Eukaryota, Metazoa, Chordata, Actinopteri, Perciformes, Liparidae.